CUCCAAGAGAGGGAGCUGAGUGGUUGCUGGGAGUGAGGGAAGGGGGAGGGUGGCCACAAGGGAGAGCCCAGGGGACAUUUAGGGGAUGAUGGAGAAAAUGUUUUGUUUCCUAAUUGAACGUGGCAGUGGUUACAUGAAUUUAUACAUGUUUUAAAAUUCACAGAAAUGUGCUCCCAAAAAAGGUCCAUUUUACUGUAUGUUAAUUAAAAAAAAAAAAGAGGUGGAAUCAGCCAGCCAAGUGCCCAGAAGACAGAGGGCUAACCUAGGGUGCGUCCUGGACUUCCCGGAGCGGCCGCUACCUGUGACCACACUCCUCCCAGGUGUUCAUCAGGAGCCACACACCCUUCCUGACAAGCAGGUUCUCACCUGGGUCCCUGGAGGAUGCGAGGCCACCAGACCAGUCAUCUCAACCUGUCACCAGCUGACCUUAAAGGAUGGCCCCCGCCUACAGAUGGGCCAUCCCUCUCCGGCAGUUUACUCGCCAAUAGCUACCUUCUUGCACAAGAAUUCUUUCUCUUGUGUAUAAGGAAAAUAAAAAACAAUCAAGGAUCCAGGAGACGGAGAGCAGCUAGAAAUGAUGAAGGGCCUCUGCUGGCUCGUCGGUCACUUUGCCACGGGUGAGUCAUCUGCUCUGAGUCAUGCCUGGCUGAGACGGAAAGGCCAGGAGGAUGCCUCCAAACACACCUGGCUUACGAAAGGACAUCACCAGGGACACGGUCGGUGCCCAGGCACACGCUUUCCUAAGUAGACUAAAAAUUAAAAGAAAAAAAUCCCCU
This 776-nucleotide long non-coding RNA is filed under the name Equus asinus (donkey). RNAcentral describes it as "lncRNA (ENSEASG00005025772.1)". The record is from RNAcentral. Lineage: Eukaryota; Metazoa; Chordata; Mammalia; Perissodactyla; Equidae.